CCCGAACUGGCCGCGUCGACGAAAUACUUAGUAGGCGGACGGGUGAGUAACGCGUGAGAAUCUGCCUUCAGGACGGAGACAACAGUUGGAAACGACUGCUAAGCCCCGAUGAACCGAAAGGGAAAAUAUUUAUAGCCUGAAGAUGAGCUCGCGUCCGAUUAGCUUGUUGGUGGGGUAGUGGCUUACCAAGGCUUUGACGGGUAGCCGGCCUGAGAGGGUGACCGGCCACAUUGGGACUGAGAUACGGCCCAGACUCCUACGGGAGGCAGCAGUGGGAAUAUUGCACAAUGGGCGGAAGCCUGAUGCAGCAACGCCGCGUGCGGGAUGACGGCCUUCGGGUUGUAAACCGCUUUCGCCUGUGACGAAGCGUGAGUGACGGUAAUGGGUAAAGAAGCACCGGCUAACUACGUGCCAGCAGCCGCGGUGAUACGUAGGGUGCGAGCGUUGUCCGGAUUUAUUGGGCGUAAAGGGCUCGUAGGUGGUUGAUCGCGUCGGAAGUGUAAUCUUGGGGCUUAACCCUGAGCGUGCUUUCGAUACGGGUU
This 542-nucleotide ribosomal RNA is filed under the name uncultured bacterium. RNAcentral's name for it is "bacterial SSU rRNA". It matches the Rfam family "Bacterial small subunit ribosomal RNA", at positions 62 to 638 of the family's 1533-position model. The record is from RNAcentral.